AUUGAACGCUGGCGGCAUGCCUUACACAUGCAAGUCGAACGGUAGCGGGUCCUUCGGGAUGCCGACGAGUGGCGAACGGGUGAGUAAUAUAUCGGAACGUGCCCAGUAGUGGGGGAUAACUGCUCGAAAGAGCAGCUAAUACCGCAUACGACCUGAGGGUGAAAGGGGGGGAUCGCAAGACCUCUCGCUAUUGGAGCGGCCGAUAUCAGAUUAGCUAGUGGGUGGGGUAAAGGCCUACCAAGGCAACGAUCUGUAGUUGGUCUGAGAGGACGCCCAGCCACACUGGGACUGAGACACGGCCCAGACUCCUACGGGAGGCAGCAGUGGGGAAUUUUGGACAAUGGGCGCAAGCCUGAUCCAGCAAUGCCGCGUGCAGGAAGAAGGCCUUCGGGUUGUAAACUGCUUUUGUCAGGGAAGAAAUCUUCUGGGCUAAUACCCCGGGAGGAUGACGGUACCUGAAGAAUAAGCACCGGCUAACUACGUGCCAGCAGCCGCCGUAA
Molecule: ribosomal RNA, 500 nt
Filed under: uncultured bacterium
Lineage: Bacteria
Description: partial 16S ribosomal RNA
Rfam family: Bacterial small subunit ribosomal RNA
Source: RNAcentral